Long non-coding RNA from Athene cunicularia (burrowing owl), 1422 nucleotides. RefSeq lists it as uncharacterized. The record is from RefSeq and is a predicted model, not a curated record. The transcript has 2 exons. NCBI's taxonomy places the organism in Eukaryota, Metazoa, Chordata, Aves, Strigiformes, Strigidae.
CAUUACCUCCUGCAAAAGGUGGCUUCUGGAGGGGUAGAGCAGUCCGCAGGGAAGUCACAUUUAGGGUUGACUACUGAAGCCUUAGACAGCCCUAGAUGUUGGUGCUUUCUGCUGUUCUGGAAGGGAGCUGUGGCAAAUAACUGAUAUAGCCCCUCUCACUCUAUCUCCUGUCAGUGGUGAUUUGCCUAAUUAUGGAGUUGAAACAAGAGCCUUCCACCAGUGCCAAGCACACAAUACUUAGACUGCAUCUGUGUCCUAACUACAGCAGUGUCAGCACUACAGAUGGUUGUUACUAUAUAGACAUGCAUGCAGAAUGAAGAGGGGAAGCCAGAGGAGGUUUAUCUGCUUGCCAAGGUAGCAAGGUCAUUUGAAGUUGAUAUUGGCAGGGAAUUAAAUUCCUGUUGUUACCAACAAAAAACCCACACAGCCCCACUGCCUCCCUUGGUGAGUCUAGGACAGAACAGGGUCUGAUCAGCUAUAGAGACUGUGUCCUCUGGAGCCCUGACUUGCUGGACAACAGCUAUUAAGUUUUAUUCAAAUACUUACUUGCAUAUAGGUAAAAAACCCCACCUUGUUGCAAUCAAUCCUACUGCCUACUAAAAUCUCUUGAUUCAGUGUCAAGGUUGAACACAUUAGUAUAUCAAUAGGACAAGCUUCACUUAUGCUUCGUGGAGAUAUGCUGGCACAACUGUUAUCUUUGGGAGGGGAGUUCCCCCAGAGCAACAGCAGCAAUCUGCCAUCUUUGCUCUUCCUUGCUUUCUGCUCACUGAUGUAAUGUGGAGUGGUGAAUCAGACUAACAGCUGGAACUGCCAGACGUCUCCAAUACAGGUUCACCAGUCACCUACCAAAUGAAAACAGAUCAGGACUGGCAGUGAAGUAGGUGAAAGGCUGUGCCACAAGAGACAGUGGAGAUUUAGGCUCCUGUUAGCAAGAAUGCCAGGGAAAUGAAGUAUUCCAAAAGACGGUCAUGUGGCAGUCUUGGUACCUGUUUGCCAAGCCAACUGCAUACAAACUAGGAUUCUGUGGUUUACAUGGAUGUAUUGGGUCUUUGUAGCUAGAAACAAAACAUCACAUGCUCACAUACACAGGUCACCAUAAGGGUUCAAAUCCUAACCCUUUAAUCACUGAUAGGCAAGAAAGACAAGUUGUGUGAUUUUCCUGAAUCCUGCCCCUGGAGAAAUGCCCUGGGUUCUAGCAACGUGUGUAAUUGUUUUUGAGCAACAAAGCCCAGCAAUGUCAGGACUCUGCCUUCUGAGCCUAGCAAUGUCUACAGCCAGCACAACAAUGCUGCUAGGAGAGACACCAAUACCUUUGGAACUGCAUCUGUUAAAGCAGCUAGAGACUAGACAGUCAAAAGCAUCCUUGUCAAACCUCCUUGCCAGCUUGCAGAGCAAGUGUCAGUUCUCAUUUCUAUUGAAAAA